CCCUUAGAUGUUCUGGGCUGCACGCGCGCUACACUGAAGCUAUCAACACGUUUUCCCUCCCUGAGAAGGGCGGGUAACCUUUUGAAUCAGCUUUGUGGUAGGGAUCGGGGCUUGCAAUUGUUCCCCGUGAACCAGGAAUUCCUAGUAGACGCGAGUCAUAAGCUCGCAUCGAUUAAGUCCCUGCCCUUUGUACACACCGCCCGUCGCUACUACCGAUUGAACGUUUUAGUGAGGCAUUUGGACCGACGCAUCUCAGUUUAACCGCUGGUUUGUGUUGGAAAGACUUCCAAACUUGAGCGUUUAGAGGAAGUAAAAGUCGUAACA
RNAcentral lists this ribosomal RNA (324 nucleotides) under uncultured eukaryote. RNAcentral's name for it is "partial 18S ribosomal RNA". It matches the Rfam family "Eukaryotic small subunit ribosomal RNA", at positions 1470 to 1796 of the family's 1831-position model. The record is from RNAcentral.